RNAcentral lists this long non-coding RNA (859 nucleotides) under Marmota monax (woodchuck). Lineage: Eukaryota; Metazoa; Chordata; Mammalia; Rodentia; Sciuridae. The record is from RNAcentral.
AAAGAAAUGAAGUCCUCAUAUGUGCUACUAUAUGGAUAAACCUUGAAAAAUAUGCUAAAUAAAAUGUCAUGUAUGUAUUAUUCCAUUUAUAUGAAAUAUCCAAAAUAGACAAAUUCAUAUAUAGAGAGAAAGCAGAUUGUUACCUCCUUGGAGGUGGUAGUCGGGGGGAAGUGUUAACUGGCAGAAUUUCCUUUUGGUUGAUGAAAAUGUUCUAGAACUGGUAAGUUCUAGUUGGUAACAGUUGCACAACAUUGUGAAUGUACUAAAUUCCACUAAAUCAUGCACUUAAAGAUAAUUAAAAAGGGGACUAGGAAUGUUGCUCAGUGGUAAAGUGCUUGCCUAGCUAUGCCCAAGGCUCUGAGUUGGAGUCUCAGCAGUGAAAAAUUAAAUAAUUAAAUUGUUAAAAUGGUGAAUUUUAUGUUACGUAACUUUGUUUAGUCUGUUUGGGCUGCUAUGACAAAAUAUCAUAAAUCAGAUAAUUUAGAUACAACAGAAGUUUAUUCCUUACAACCCUGGAGGCUGGAUUAAGAUUAAAGUGUCAGUGUCUGGUGACGACAUGCCUCCUCCCAGUUCCUUCUUGCUCUGUUUUCAUGUAAUCAUAUAUGCUCUGUGGUCUCUUUUAAAAGGCUCUAAAUCUAUUCAUGAAACCUCAUCACCUACCAAAGACCCCACCUCUUAAUAUCAUGACUUUGGGAAGUAGGAUUUCAACAUGAAUUUGGAGGGGACAGAAACAUCCAGACCAUAGCAGAAUUUUACCUCAAAUUUCAAACAGGGUGAGAGAUGCGGAUAUGGCUCAGGUAGAACACUUGCCUAAUAUGCACAAGCCCUGGCUUCUAUUCUUAGCACUGUAAAACAAAAC